AAAUUGAAGAGUUUGAUCAUGGCUCAGAUUGAACGCUGGCGGCAGGCCUAACACAUGCAAGUCGAACGGUAGCACAGAGAGCUUGCUCUCGGGUGACGAGUGGCGGACGGGUGAGUAAUGUCUGGGAAACUGCCUGAUGGAGGGGGAUAACUACUGGAAACGGUGGCUAAUACCGCAUAACGUCGCAAGACCAAAGAGGGGGACCUUCGGGCCUCUUGCCAUCAGAUGUGCCCAGAUGGGAUUAGCUUGUUGGUGAGGUAACGGCUCACCAAGGCGACGAUCCCUAGCUGGUCUGAGAGGAUGACCAGCCACACUGGAACUGAGACACGGUCCAGACUCCUACGGGAGGCAGCAGUGGGGAAUAUUGCACAAUGGGCGCAAGCCUGAUGCAGCCAUGCCGCGUGUAUGAAGAAGGCCUUCGGGUUGUAAAGUACUUUCAGCGGGGAGGAAGGUGUUGUGGUUAAUAACCGCAGCAAUUGACGUUACCCGCAGAAGAAGCACCGGCUAACUCCGUGCCAGCAGCCGCGGUAAUACGGAGGGUGCAAGCGUUAAUCGGAAUUACUGGGCGUAAAGCGCACGCAGGCGGUCUGUCAAGUCGGA
Molecule: ribosomal RNA, 600 nt
Filed under: Salmonella enterica subsp. enterica serovar Agona
Lineage: Bacteria; Pseudomonadati; Pseudomonadota; Gammaproteobacteria; Enterobacterales; Enterobacteriaceae
Description: bacterial SSU rRNA
Rfam family: Bacterial small subunit ribosomal RNA
Source: RNAcentral